GGGACCAGGAUUUCUCAGCGGUGCACGAGGUUCUGAAAGGAGCAGGUGGUUCAGGCCAAGCAUGAUCGGUCAUGGUUUCCUCUGAAACCCUGAAUGUUAGAACCAUAUGCCUGUAUCACGCCUGUUGCAGAUCUUUCAAAGCGUCUUGUAAUUUGUCCAAACCAAGUGGCUUACCAUUGUAUCACGCCUGUUGCAGAUCUUUCAAAGCGUCUUGUAAUUUGUCCAAACCAAGUGGCUUACCGUUGUAUCGCUGUGUAUAUUCAACGUUU
This 269-nucleotide long non-coding RNA is filed under the name Brachypodium distachyon (stiff brome). RNAcentral describes it as "long non-coding RNA (BDIS_LNC003884)". Lineage: Eukaryota; Viridiplantae; Streptophyta; Magnoliopsida; Poales; Poaceae. The record is from RNAcentral.